AGAAUGAACGCUGGCGGCGUGCUUAACACAUGCAAGUCGAACGGAAUACAAGGAGCUUGCUCCGAACUAUUUAGUGGCGAACGGGUGAGUAUCACGUGAGCAACCUGCCCCGAAGACUGGGAUAACACCGGGAAACCGGUGCUAAUACCGGAUGUCUUUCAAUGAUCGCAUGAUCGAUGAAAGAAAUGUUUUUUCGCUUUGGGAGGGGCUCGCGGUCCAUCAGCUUGUUGGCGGGGUAACGGCCCACCAAGGCUACGACGGAUAGCUGGUCUGAGAGGACGAUCAGCCACACUGGAACUGAGACACGGCCCAGACUCCUACGGGAGGCAGCAGUGGGGAAUCUUGCGCAAUGGGCGAAAGCCUGACGCAGCAACGCCGCGUGAGGGACGAAGGCCUUCUGGGUUGUAAACCGUCUUUCAGCAGGGACGAUGAUGACGGUACCUGCAGAAGAAGCCCGGCAACUACGUGCCAGCAGCCGC
Molecule: ribosomal RNA, 479 nt
Filed under: uncultured bacterium
Lineage: Bacteria
Description: SSU rRNA
Rfam family: Bacterial small subunit ribosomal RNA
Source: RNAcentral